Molecule: long non-coding RNA, 683 nt
Organism: Mesocricetus auratus (golden hamster)
Lineage: Eukaryota; Metazoa; Chordata; Mammalia; Rodentia; Cricetidae
Exons: 2
Source: RefSeq, a predicted model, not a curated record
GCUGCAGCAUUGCUGGGCAUCCUCCAAGACAGCCCUACAACCUGCCUUCCUGCAUCCGUUACAGACAGGGAGACCCAGGCCGUGGGAGAGGAGAGCCAUGUGGGCCGCCAGGCGCCCCCUCAUGCACAAGGGGGCAACUGAUGUACUAUCUACCCUCCUUGGGUUAUCCUGGAGUCAAGCCUGGGACCUUAUCCAUGCUGGGAGAGUGCUCCACCACCGAGCUACAUCCCCAGGGCCCCAUUUUAUAGAAAAAAGAACACACAAAUUUACUACAUGCCUGAGGUAUACUAAAAGCCAAGCUCAAAAUCUUACCCACGUGACUGUCCAAUUGUGAGCUGAACAAGGAUGACGCCAAUGAACCAAAGUGGACAGGAAAAGCCCCGCGGCCUCACGCUUACACAGAGCUAUAGGCAACUGCGGAGAGCUGGAGUGAGGGGGGUGGCUUCCCCAGGAACAGCACAGCAGCUGCCUGUCUAGUGUCAAAAGGGGAGCCCUGAAAACAUGCAUACAAGUAACAAUAUGAAUGGGUUAUAUUUAGAAAUAUAUUUAUAUACACAAAUACAUUUAUGUAUGCAAUAGCAGCUAAAAAAGAAGCCAUGGAUUUGAAGGACAGUGAGGGUUUGGAGGGAGGAAAGGGAAGGGAGACAUGUUGUAAUUAAAUUAUAAUCUCAAAAAGAAAAAAA